GACGAACGCUGGCGGCGUGCCUAAUACAUGCAAGUCGAACGGUCUUUUCUAUGGAAGCUUGCUUCCACUGAAAAGAUAGUGGCGGACGGGUGAGUAACACGUGGGUAACCUGCCCAUAAGAGGGGGAUAACAUCCGGAAACGGGUGCUAAUACCGCAUAGUUUUCUUGAUCGCAUGAUUGAGAAAGGAAAGACGGCCUUUGUGCUGUCGCUUAUGGAUGGACCCGCGGCGUAUUAGUUAGUUGGUGAGGUAAUGGCUCACCAAGACGAUGAUACGUAGCCGACCUGAGAGGGUGAUCGGCCACAUUGGGACUGAGACACGGCCCAAACUCCUACGGGAGGCAGCAGUAGGGAAUCUUCCGCAAUGGACGAAAGUCUGACGGAGCAACGCCGCGUGAGUGAAGAAGGUUUUCGGAUCGUAAAACUCUGU
RNAcentral lists this ribosomal RNA (428 nucleotides) under uncultured bacterium. RNAcentral describes it as "bacterial SSU rRNA". It matches the Rfam family "Bacterial small subunit ribosomal RNA", at positions 28 to 436 of the family's 1533-position model. The record is from RNAcentral.